GUUUUGUGUGUCGUCCGCCCGACGUCGUUGACGAAGCAAACUUCAUUAUAAAGAGACUCCUGUUUUAGAACUAUUAACGUCAGUAAUUUUAUUUAAUAGUGUAUGAAAGAGGUGCAGAUAACUUUCUACUUAUAUAAUAUCAGCAGAUUGAUCUGAGAACGUAAACUGAUGGGAUUUUAUAUACAAGAUGGUGUGUUGAGUGUCUUCAAGACCAAGUAAUUUCGCUUAGGUUCCUGCAGCAAUUUUACAACUGAAGGAUACGGACGGUUCCAAGAUACAUGGUAGUGUUGACAAGAUUAACUGGAAUAACUGGAGGACAUCUCUACAUGUUUCUUGACUGCAAAUUGCUGUAUAAAAGCUUCAAACUGAUGACUGGGUAUCAAGUUUUGUAUGGACAAUGGUAAAUAGUAUCAUCAUAUCCAAGGUAUGCUCUAAAUGGUCUUAAAUUUAUAACCGUAUCUUUUUAAGUGACUUGAUACCAAUGAAGUAAAAUAAAAAUUUACCUUCCAAACAUCUUGCCACAAAAAAGCAGUCUGGAUAUAGAUGUUCAGAGGACAGGCUGUGUCAUUAAUUUUACCUGUAGUGAUUCUUUACCAGUAUAUCCAUAAUGC
Macrobrachium nipponense is the source of this 611-nucleotide long non-coding RNA. RefSeq lists it as uncharacterized. The record is from RefSeq and is a predicted model, not a curated record. The transcript has 3 exons. Lineage: Eukaryota; Metazoa; Arthropoda; Malacostraca; Decapoda; Palaemonidae.